This 469-nucleotide ribosomal RNA is filed under the name uncultured bacterium. RNAcentral's name for it is "partial 16S ribosomal RNA". It matches the Rfam family "Bacterial small subunit ribosomal RNA", at positions 28 to 507 of the family's 1533-position model. The record is from RNAcentral.
GACGAACGCUGGCGGCGUGCUUAACACAUGCAAGUCGAACGGAAAGGCCCUGCUUGCGGGGUGCUCGAGUGGCGAACGGGUGAGUAACACGCGGGUGAACUGCCCCUUACUUUGGGAUAAGCCUGGUAGACUGGGUGUAAUACAGGCUAGAACCUUGCUUGAGGCGGUGUGGUGGAAAGAGAAGUUUCGUUUGGGGAUGAGCUCGCGGCGGAUCAGCGUUUUGUUGGGGUAUUGGCCUACCAAGGCGUCGACGGGUAGCCGGCCGGAGAGGGUGGUCGGCCACAUUGGGACUGCGACGCGAGGCAGCAGCCUACGGGAGGCAGCAGUGGGGGAUAUUGUACCAUGGGCGCAAGCCUGAUGUAGCGACGCCGCGUGGGGGGUGACGGCCUUCGGGUUGUAAGCAACUUUCGGCCAUGACGAAGCGCUUGUGGUGACGGUAGUGGUAGAAGAAGCACCGGCUAACUACGUG